Long non-coding RNA from Myzus persicae (green peach aphid), 518 nucleotides. RefSeq lists it as uncharacterized. The record is from RefSeq and is a predicted model, not a curated record. NCBI's taxonomy places the organism in Eukaryota, Metazoa, Arthropoda, Insecta, Hemiptera, Aphididae. The transcript is spliced from 3 exons.
UUUGUUUGCCAAAAUAUAGCUUAACGUUGCCGUAAGCCAUCUGGAAUAGAUUUGAAGUUGAUUCGGAAACACUUAAACCCCAAAAUUCAAUAGAAAGUAAAAUUUAUGUUCAAAUAUCAGUCUACAGGUGUCAAUAAAAGACCCAUAUGAAAAUUGAAUGAACAAAUACGGGUUUUUUUGUGUCAACGAACAGUUCGUCGUUCAUAUGAAAAUAUUAUCACGCUUAACGUUGCCGUAAGCCAUGUGGAAUAGAUUUGAAGUUGAUUCGGAAACACUUAAACCCCAAAAUUCAAUAGAAAGUAAAAUUUAUGUUCAAAUAUCAGUCUACAGGUGUCAAUAAAAGACCCAUAUGAAAAUUGAAUGAACAAAUUCGGGUUUUUUUUGUGUCAACGAACAGUUCGUCGUUCAUAUGAAAAUAUUAUCACGCUUAACGUUGCCGUAAGCCAUGUGGAAUAGAUUUGAAGUUGAUUCGGAAACACUUAAACCCCAAAAUUCAAUAGAAAGUAAAAUUUAUGUUC